GUGUGAGAAAUAAAUUGUGUUACCAAAGAUAGUUGCUUAAAAACGUUUCUAAUUGUUAACUUAGUUUUAUGUGUCUGUAAAUAAUGCUAAACAAACAGUAGAAGUGGCAAAUAUGGAAAUAAAGACCGCUAUUUAGCAAAAGUCACUGUGGAAGCUGAUAAUGACAAUGACAGAUAACCUUCGGGCCAGAAGAUAAGAUAGAACUGUAUUUUUCGAAUCUUUUUGCAAACGAUAAUCAAGCACUGUGAUGAAAGUGAAAGAAUUGACGAUUAACAUUUGUAAAUAUAUAGAACAAGGCUAACCAGGGUACCAUAAUAAUAAUAGCUUUCAUUGAUGGUUCCAUACGAAUACAACCAAUCAAAUGGCAGGAUUCAAUAUCUGCUUAUGAUAAAUCAACGCAGAGAUUGCUCUUCCAUCCAACCGAAAUUUAUAAAGUGAAAAAUAAAACCAAUGCUUUUUUA
Leptinotarsa decemlineata (Colorado potato beetle) is the source of this 461-nucleotide long non-coding RNA. Lineage: Eukaryota; Metazoa; Arthropoda; Insecta; Coleoptera; Chrysomelidae. The record is from RefSeq and is a predicted model, not a curated record.